AAACUGCAUGUUUUAUGUCAUGGGCAAGUAUAUACAAUAAACUAAGAUAAUAAAUUGGGAUAAAUAUUACCGUUGGUAACCUUCUCCAAGACCAAUUGGAGCUCAGAAAAACGGAGCAACUUAUAAAACUGCAGGUAUCCCACCAAAGCCAACGAUUGGGAAUCAAUAGUGGGGAGAUCUGAUCCGUGCUGAUUGACACUCAAUAUUCUAACGUUUGGUGUACUGCACGGUAAAGGCUAGUUUCAUAAAGUUGUGGAAUGAGAAGUACAAAGAAAUGUGUUUUUCAAUAAGUAAAAAUCUACAUGUACUUGGAAAACUCUGCCUCCAUUCUUGCUAUGCAGCUUUUUCCUACAUGCAUGAAAUAUAAUCACUUAUGUUCAAACUAUGAAUAUUAAAAGGCAAAAAAACAAAAAAAAGAUAUCAGAUUGACGACAGGAGAAAGAGAAGAUAGGUGCGGAAUUGGGAUAUAACAGGAGCGAUUGUUAAAAUUUGGAAAUGGAACUUUAAGUAAAGUGGAGUAUUUAACCACCGAAGCUAAACUAAGCCCAGCAAUUCUGCACUAGCAUGUUCUUCACGUCGUCUUUUAUUCAGUUCAACUUCCCCAGACUUAAUCAGUGGAUAAUAUAUUCGUUUUUCAUUUCACACACACCGGCACACAUACUUUUUUUUAAUUUUCACAUGCAUGUGUAUGUAUAUGAUUUCCACUUUCAAGCAUUUUGUAAUGUAGUUUCCAAUCACUAUGUGCAUCUAUAAGUUGGUAUUUUAAAUGAUUUCCCCCAAUUUAUGGAAGCUGCCUAUGAAUAUACUGAGUAUCUGUUUAAGUGAAACUCAAUCCAUUUUGUCAUAAAAGUAUGCAAGCAACAAAAUUUAAUAAAUACUUUAAGUCACAAAAGAGACAGAGUCAGUCGAUAAGCAUCUCCUCUUAGAUAAAAAAGAGUUUUGUCACGAAAGUCAGUUGAUUACUGCAUCAUGAUAAGAAAUAGAGCUCUUCCCGCGAGAUAAGGAGAUUCAGAAACACAAAUACUCAGGGAAGGUGACUUACGACCGACGGCGACCGGCAGUUGCGUGGCAGCGGGGCAGGACCAGUGGGGAUCCAAAGGCGCAAGUUUGUAGGGAUUAGGGUAUCUAGCCAAAAGUUAUGCGAGCCAGUUUUUUA
Molecule: long non-coding RNA, 1156 nt
Filed under: Nicotiana tabacum (common tobacco)
Lineage: Eukaryota; Viridiplantae; Streptophyta; Magnoliopsida; Solanales; Solanaceae
Description: long non-coding RNA (NTAB_LNC007157)
Source: RNAcentral